This 489-nucleotide long non-coding RNA is filed under the name Homo sapiens (human). RNAcentral describes it as "HSALNT0057062". The record is from RNAcentral. Lineage: Eukaryota; Metazoa; Chordata; Mammalia; Primates; Hominidae.
UCCCUUCAACUUUUCUCUUUAGUCCCUUCUCAGUCUGAUUCAGAAAAUGGUGAUUGCCUGUCUUUCUACCUGCUGGGAGUUUGCUGAGCCUUGUGGUGAGUAGUGGUAUGAGCCGUGAGAAGACAUGCAUACGUACAGAAGUUCACAUAUGAAAGAAGGAAGUAAUUAGCGUUUUUUCCUUCAAAGAAUAGGUGGUGCCUCAGCAAUGUCUUGACAGGCUUUCAAGCUUUCAUUUUAAAAAUACAAAGUGCAUCACCCCAGUCCUGACGUGAGAGAGCAAAACUAACAUUGUUGCUAAAAAUCAAUGCUAAACCUGCCAAGUAUAAUUUUUUUGGUGUUUUAGUAUUGAGGCAUUUUUUCUUACAUGUCUCAUGAGUAUAUCUUUGUUUCAACCUAAAUGCCAUAAAAUAUUUUUCUUGUUAAAAAUAUUGUAAAGAGAUUUCUGUGACUGUAAAUAGCACCAUGGUUUUUUUGACCUCUAAAUAAAAA